This 583-nucleotide ribosomal RNA is filed under the name uncultured bacterium. RNAcentral's name for it is "bacterial SSU rRNA". It matches the Rfam family "Bacterial small subunit ribosomal RNA", at positions 338 to 916 of the family's 1533-position model. The record is from RNAcentral.
CCUACGGGAGGCAGCAGUAGGGAAUCUUCCGCAAUGGACGAAAGUCUGACGGAGCAACGCCGCGUGAACGAUGAAGGCCUUCGGGUCGUAAAGUUCUGUUGUUAGGGAAGAACAAGUGCUAGUUAAAUAAGCUGGCACCUUGACGGUACCUAACCAGAAAGCCACGGCUAACUACGUGCCAGCAGCCGCGGUAAUACGUAGGUGGCAAGCGUUGUCCGGAAUUAUUGGGCGUAAAGCGCGCGCAGGCGGUUUCUUAAGUCUGAUGUGAAAGCCCCCGGCUCAACCGGGGAGGGUCAUUGGAAACUGGGAAACUUGAGUGCAGAAGAGGAAAGUGGAAUUCCAAGUGUAGCGGUGAAAUGCGUAGAGAUUUGGAGGAACACCAGUGGCGAAGGCGACUUUCUGGUCUGUAACUGACGCUGAGGCGCGAAAGCGUGGGGAGCAAACAGGAUUAGAUACCCUGGUAGUCCACGCUGUAAACGAUGAGUGCUAAGUGUUAGAGGGUUUCCGCCCUUUAGUGCUGAAGUUAACGCAUUAAGCACUCCGCCUGGGGANCGGUCGCAAGCUGAACUUAANGAAUUGACGG